CACAUGCAAGUCGAGCGGAUGAAGGGAGCUUGCUCCUGGAUUCAGCGGCGGACGGGUGAGUAAUGCCUAGGAAUCUGCCUGGUAGUGGGGGAUAACGUCCGGAAACGGGCGCUAAUACCGCAUACGUCCUGAGGGAGAAAGUGGGGGAUCUUCGGACCUCACGCUAUCAGAUGAGCCUAGGUCGGAUUAGCUAGUUGGUGGGGUAAAGGCCUACCAAGGCGACGAUCCGUAACUGGUCUGAGAGGAUGAUCAGUCACACUGGAACUGAGACACGGUCCAGACUCCUACGGGAGGCAGCAGUGGGGAAUAUUGGACAAUGGGCGAAAGCCUGAUCCAGCCAUGCCGCGUGUGUGAAGAAGGUCUUCGGAUUGUAAAGCACUUUAAGUUGGGAGGAAGGGCAGUAAGUUAAUACCUUGCUGUUUUGACGUUACCAACAGAAUAAGCACCGGCUAACUUCGUGCCAGCAGCCGCGGUAAUACGAAGGGUGCAAGCGUUAAUCGGAAUUACUGGGCGUAAAGCGCGCGUAGGUGGUUCAGCAAGUUGGAUGUGAAAUCCCCGGGCUCAACCUGGGAACUGCAUCCAAAACUACUGAGCUAGAGUACGGUAGAGGGUGGUGGAAUUUCCUGUGUAGCGGUGAAAUGCGUAGAUAUAGGAAGGAACACCAGUGGCGAAGGCGACCACCUGGACUGAUACUGACACUGAGGUGCGAAAGCGUGGGGAGCAAACAGGAUUAGAUACCCUGGUAGUCCACGCCGUAAACGAUGUCGACUAGCCGUUGGGAUCCUUGAGAUCUUAGUGGCGCAGCUAACGCGAUAAGUCGACCGCCUGGGGAGUACGGCCGCAAGGUAAAACUCAAAGGAAUUGACGGC
This 869-nucleotide ribosomal RNA is filed under the name uncultured bacterium. RNAcentral describes it as "bacterial SSU rRNA". It matches the Rfam family "Bacterial small subunit ribosomal RNA", at positions 52 to 917 of the family's 1533-position model. The record is from RNAcentral.